RNAcentral lists this ribosomal RNA (497 nucleotides) under uncultured bacterium. Its description in RNAcentral is "partial 16S ribosomal RNA". It matches the Rfam family "Bacterial small subunit ribosomal RNA", at positions 28 to 507 of the family's 1533-position model. The record is from RNAcentral.
GAUGAACGCUGGCGGCGUGCCUAAUACAUGCAAGUCGAGCGAACGGACGAGAAGCUUGCUUCUCUGAUGUUAGCGGCGGACGGGUGAGUAACACGUGGAUAACCUACCUAUAAUACUGGGAUAACUUCGGGAAACCGUAGCUAAUACCGUAUAAUAUUUUGAACCGCAUUGUUCAAAAGUGAAAUACGGUCUUGCUGUCUCUUAUAGAUGGAUCCGCGCUGCAUUAGCUAGUUGGUAAGGUAACGGCUUACCAAGGCAACGAUGCAUAGCCGACCUGAGAGGCUGAUCGGCCACACUGGAACUGAGACACGGUCCAGACUCCUACGGGAGGCAGCAGUAGGGAAUCUUCCGCAAUGGGCGAAAGCCUGACGGAGCAACGCCGAGUGAGUGAUGAAGGUCUUCGGAUCGUAAAACUCUGUUAUUAGUGAAGAACAUAUGUGUAAGUAACUGUGCACAUCUUGACGGUACCUAAUAAGAAAGCAACGGCUAACUACGUG